RNAcentral lists this ribosomal RNA (255 nucleotides) under uncultured bacterium. RNAcentral describes it as "partial 16S ribosomal RNA". It matches the Rfam family "Bacterial small subunit ribosomal RNA", at positions 524 to 776 of the family's 1533-position model. The record is from RNAcentral.
UACGGGGGGAGCAAGCGUUGUUCGGAUUUACUGGGCGUAAAGGGCGCGUAGGCGGUCGUGACAAGUCACUUGUGAAAUCUCCGGGCUUAACUCGGAACGGUCAAGUGAUACUGUCGGACUAGAGUACAGAAGGGGCAACUGGAAUUCUCGGUGUAGCGGUGAAACGCGUAGAUAUCAAGAGGAACACCUGAGGCGAAGGCGGGUUGCUAGGCUGACACUGACGCUGAGUGCGCGAAAGCCAGGGGAGCAAACGGG